UACGUAGGGGGCAAGCGUUGUCCGGAUUUAUUGGGCGUAAAGAGCGUGUAGGCGGCUUUGCAAGUCCGUUGUGAAAACUCGAGGCUCAACCUCGAGACGCCGGUGGAAACUGCAAAGCUAGAGUCCGGAAGAGGAGAGUGGAAUUCCUGGUGUAGCGGUGAAAUGCGCAGAUAUCAGGAAGAACACCCGUGGCGAAGGCGGCUCUCUGGGACGGUACUGACGCUGAGACGCGAAAGCAUGGGGAGCGAACAGG
This 253-nucleotide ribosomal RNA is filed under the name uncultured bacterium. RNAcentral's name for it is "partial 16S ribosomal RNA". It matches the Rfam family "Bacterial small subunit ribosomal RNA", at positions 524 to 776 of the family's 1533-position model. The record is from RNAcentral.